AACGAACGCUGGCGGCAUGCCUAACACAUGCAAGUCGAACGAGACCUUCGGGUCUAGUUGCGCACGGGUGCGUAACGCGUGGGAACCUGCCCUUAGGUUCGGAAUAACUCCCCGAAAGGGGUGCUAAUACCGGAUAAUGUCUUCGGACCAAAGAUUUAUCGCCUUUGGAUGGGCCCGCGUUGGAUUAGCUAGUUGGUAGGGUAAAAGCCUACCAAUGCGACGAUCCAUAGCUGGACUGAGAGCAUGAUCAGCCACACUGGGACUGAGACCCGGCCCAGAUUCCUACGGGAGGAAGCGGUGGGGAAUAUUGGACAACGGGCGCAAGCCUGAUACAGCCAUGCCGCGUGAGUGAUGAAGGCGUUAGGGUUGUAAAGCUCUUUUACCCGGGAUGAUAAGGACAGUACCGGGAGAAUAAGCUCCGGCUAACUCCGUG
This 433-nucleotide ribosomal RNA is filed under the name uncultured bacterium. RNAcentral describes it as "partial 16S ribosomal RNA". It matches the Rfam family "Bacterial small subunit ribosomal RNA", at positions 29 to 507 of the family's 1533-position model. The record is from RNAcentral.